GGCUCAGGACGAACGCUGGCGGCGUGCUUAACACAUGCAAGUCGAACGAGGAUUACGUUGGAAGGGCUUCGGUCUGGAAGGUGUAAUUCGAGUGGCGGACGGGUGAGUAACGCGUGAGCAAUCUGUCCCAUACAGGGGAAUAACACUUGGAAACAGGUGCUAAUACCGCAUAAGACCACGGAGUCACAUGGCACUGGGGUAAAAGGAGCAAUCCGGUAUGGGGUGUAGCUCGCGUCCGAUUAGAUAGUUGGUGAGGUAACGGCCCACCAAGUCGACGAUCGGUAGCCGACCUGAGAGGGUGAUCGGCCACAUUGGAACUGAGAGACGGUCCAAACUCCUACGGGAGGCAGCAGUGGGGAAUAUUGGGCAAUGGGCGAAAAAGCCUGACCCAGCAACGCCGCGUGAGUGAAGAAGGCUUUCGGGUUGUAAAGCUCUGUUAUAGGGGACGAAGGAAGUGACGGUACCCUAUAAGGAAGCCCCGGCUAACUACGUGCCAGCAGCCGC
Molecule: ribosomal RNA, 504 nt
Filed under: uncultured bacterium
Lineage: Bacteria
Description: bacterial SSU rRNA
Rfam family: Bacterial small subunit ribosomal RNA
Source: RNAcentral